ACAUGCUUACAACUUAGCGUUAAUACACCAUAUCCCAUUAGAACUCUGUAGUUAAGCAUGCUCAGGCUAGAGUAGUACUGGGAUGGGUGACCACCUGAUAAGUCCUAGUAUUUUACAUGCC
Molecule: non-coding RNA, 121 nt
Organism: Picea glauca (white spruce)
Lineage: Eukaryota; Viridiplantae; Streptophyta; Pinopsida; Pinales; Pinaceae
Source: Rfam